RNAcentral lists this ribosomal RNA (253 nucleotides) under uncultured bacterium. RNAcentral's name for it is "partial 16S ribosomal RNA". It matches the Rfam family "Bacterial small subunit ribosomal RNA", at positions 524 to 776 of the family's 1533-position model. The record is from RNAcentral.
UACGUAGGGUGCAAGCGUUGUCCGGAAUUAUUGGGCGUAAAGAGCUCGUAGGCGGUUUGUUGCGUCGGCUGUGAAAUCCCGAGGCUCAACCUCGGGUCUGCAGUCGAUACGAGCAAACUAGAGUGUUGCAGGGGAGACUGGAAUUCCUGGUGUAGCGGUGAAAUGCGUAGAUAUCAGGAGGAACACCGGUGGCGAAGGCGCUCAUCUGGCCCAAUACUGACGCUGAUGCGCGAAAGCUAGGGGAGCAAACGGG